GUUUUCUUCCUCUACCUCCAUCUAAGUCAUACCCGAUGUCCAAUUCCUUGAGGAUCUUGCUUAAUGGAUCAAUACUAAGACAAAAAAGGAGUGGAGAGAGACUAUCUCCCUGGAAUAUCCCUCGCGUCACUUUUAUGUCUGGGAUUAUUAUCUGCCCCUCUGCAUGGUUUAGAGUGAUGGUGGUGUUCCACUUAUUCAUUUGUGUUUUCAAGAGAGAUCUUACUUCCUUAUUGAUGUUAUAAAGUUCUAGGCAUCUCAUAAUCCAUGAAUGUGGGACAUUAUCAAAUGCCUUUUUGUAGUCAAUCCAAGCCAUGCUGAGGUUUCUCCUCCUUCUUUUGCAGUCCUCCAGGAUAGCAUUGUCUAUCAAUAACUGGUCUUUAGCGCCUAAUCUUUUUCUGAAACAACCUUUCUGCUCAUUCUCCAGGUAGCCACCAGUGUCCAAAUGUUCAUAAACGGCAUCGGCUAUAAUUCCUGUCAGCCAUUUAUAAGUUGUUGUUAAGCAACAGAUGGGUCUAUACUUGUUGGGAGCUGUUUCCUUGUUGUCUUUUUUAACAAA
Molecule: long non-coding RNA, 556 nt
Organism: Thalassophryne amazonica
Lineage: Eukaryota; Metazoa; Chordata; Actinopteri; Batrachoidiformes; Batrachoididae
Exons: 3
Source: RefSeq, a predicted model, not a curated record